UGUUUAAUUCGAAGAUACGCGAAAAACCUUACCUAGACUUGACAUGCCAAUGAUCGGCUUAGAAAUAAGCUUUUCCCUUCGGGGACAUUGGACACAGGUGGUGCAUGGUUGUCGUCAGCUCGUGUCGUGAGAUGUUUGGUUAAGUCCAAUAACGAGCGCAACCCUUUUCCUUAAUUGCUAACAUUUAGUUGAGAACCUUAAGGAUACUGCCGGUAAUAAACCGGAGGAAGGUGGGGAUGACGUCAAAUCAUCAUGCCCCUUACGUCUAGGGCAACAGGCGUGCUACAAUGGCCGGUAUAAUAUGAUGCAAUAUCGUGAGAUGGAGCAAAUCACAAAAGCCGGUCUCAGUUCGGAUUGGAGUCUGCAACUCGACUCCAUGAAGUUGGAAUCGCUAGUAAUCCCGAAUCAGAAUGUCGGGGUGAAUACGUUCCCGGGUGUUGUACACACCGCCCGUCACGCCAUGGGAGUUUGUAAUACAUGAAGCUGGUAGCCUAACCUUUUAGGAGGGGGCCAUCGAAUGUAGGACAGAUGACUGGGGUGAAGUCGUAACAAGGUA
RNAcentral lists this ribosomal RNA (556 nucleotides) under uncultured bacterium. Its description in RNAcentral is "SSU rRNA". It matches the Rfam family "Bacterial small subunit ribosomal RNA", at positions 943 to 1498 of the family's 1533-position model. The record is from RNAcentral.